UACAGAGGGUGCAAGCGUUGUUCGGAAUUAUUGGGCGUAAAGGGCGCGUAGGCGGCAUGCCAAGCGUGUGGUGAAAGCCCGGGGCUCAACCCCGGGUCGGCCGUGCGGACUGGCGGGCUCGAGGCCGGUAGGGGGAAGCGGAAUUCCCGGUGUAGUGGUGGAAUGCGUAGAUAUCGGGAGGAACACCAGUGGCGAAGGCGGCUUCCUGGACCGGUUCUGACACUGAGGAGCGAAAGCGUGGGGAGCGAACAGG
RNAcentral lists this ribosomal RNA (253 nucleotides) under uncultured bacterium. RNAcentral describes it as "partial 16S ribosomal RNA". It matches the Rfam family "Bacterial small subunit ribosomal RNA", at positions 524 to 776 of the family's 1533-position model. The record is from RNAcentral.